UACGAAGGGUGCAAACGUUGCUCGGAAUUAUUGGGCGUAAAGCGCACGUAGGCGGCUUAGCAAGUCGGAAGUGAAAGCCCUCGGCUCAACCAAGGAAGUGCUUUCGAAACUGCUGAGCUUGAGUACUUAAGAGGAUCGCGGAAUUCCCGGUGUAGAGGUGAAAUGCGUAGAUAUGCGGAGGAACACCGAUGGCGAAGGCAAUCCCCUGGGCCUGCACUGACGCUCAUGCACGAAAGCGUGGGGAGCAAACAGG
This 253-nucleotide ribosomal RNA is filed under the name uncultured bacterium. RNAcentral describes it as "partial 16S ribosomal RNA". It matches the Rfam family "Bacterial small subunit ribosomal RNA", at positions 524 to 776 of the family's 1533-position model. The record is from RNAcentral.